Molecule: long non-coding RNA, 112 nt
Organism: Neltuma alba
Lineage: Eukaryota; Viridiplantae; Streptophyta; Magnoliopsida; Fabales; Fabaceae
Exons: 3
Source: RefSeq, a predicted model, not a curated record
UUUGGGAUUGUGAAACCAUUGAAGAUGAAGUUAUUGAUGGCUUCCCUGAAAGCUCCUUGGAGUGGAGGGGCGAGUCUCAUGACUUCACAAGCUACGUUCCAACAGAUGAAAU